This is a non-coding RNA of Bos taurus (domestic cattle), 73 nucleotides long. The record is from Rfam. Lineage: Eukaryota; Metazoa; Chordata; Mammalia; Artiodactyla; Bovidae.
UCCCUGGUAAUCCAGAGGCUAAGACUCUGUGCUUCCAAUGCAGGAGGCCCAGGUUUGAUCCCUGGUCAGGGAA